Molecule: ribosomal RNA, 253 nt
Filed under: uncultured bacterium
Lineage: Bacteria
Description: partial 16S ribosomal RNA
Rfam family: Bacterial small subunit ribosomal RNA
Source: RNAcentral
UACGAAGGGGGCUAGCGUUGCUCGGAAUCACUGGGCGUAAAGCGCACGUAGGCGGAUUGUUAAGUCAGGGGUGAAAUCCUGGAGCUCAACUCCAGAACUGCCUUUGAUACUGGCGAUCUCGAGUCCGGGAGAGGUGAGUGGAACUGCGAGUGUAGAGGUGAAAUUCGUAGAUAUUCGCAAGAACACCAGCGGCGAAGGCGGCUCACUGGCCCGGUACUGACGCUGAGGUGCGAAAGCGUGGGGAGCAAACAGG